RNAcentral lists this ribosomal RNA (441 nucleotides) under uncultured bacterium. Its description in RNAcentral is "bacterial SSU rRNA". It matches the Rfam family "Bacterial small subunit ribosomal RNA", at positions 338 to 795 of the family's 1533-position model. The record is from RNAcentral.
CCUACGGGCGGCAGCAGUGAGGAAUUUUCCGCAAUGGUCGCAAGACUGACGGAGCAACGCCGCGUGCAGGAGGACGCUUUUCGGAGUGUAAACUGCUUUUCUGUGGGAAGAGGAUGGACGGUACCACAGGAAGAAGCCCCGGCUAACUACGUGCCAGCAGCCGCGGUAAUACGUAGGGGGCGAGCGUUGUCCGGAGUUACUGGGCGUAAAGGGCACGCAGGCGGUUCUGCGCGUUUUGCGUGACAGCGGGUGGCUUACCUGCCCGAGUACGCGAAAGACGGUAGGACUUGAGAGCCAGAGAGGGACACGGAAUUCCGGGUGGAGUGGUGAAAUGCGUAGAGAUCCGGAGGAACACCGAAGGCGAAGGCAGUGUCCUGGCGAGCGACUGACGCUGAGGUGCGAAAGCGUGGGGAGCAAACAGGAUUAGAUACCCCUGUAGUC